This 236-nucleotide long non-coding RNA is filed under the name Eucalyptus grandis. RNAcentral's name for it is "long non-coding RNA (EGRA_LNC007975)". The record is from RNAcentral. Lineage: Eukaryota; Viridiplantae; Streptophyta; Magnoliopsida; Myrtales; Myrtaceae.
GUAAAUUCAUUUUUAAUGGACAAAUAGAAUUUUCGUUCUUUGAUUUUUCAUUGUAAAGUUAAAUGACAAAGGUUGUGAAUUGUCCAAAUAAUCAGACCUGUUCACAUGUCUCCAAGAAUAGAGGAAACACCUCCAAUCGCGCACCGAUGGAGGAAAACCCUAACCUCCCGCUCCUCCCCAAGCGAGAAUCCUCCCCCAGAGCCUCUGUAUGCGAAACCCCCAAGAGAGAGAGAGAG